RNAcentral lists this ribosomal RNA (489 nucleotides) under Heteromenopon psittacum. Its description in RNAcentral is "partial 16S ribosomal RNA". It matches the Rfam family "Bacterial large subunit ribosomal RNA", at positions 1832 to 2596 of the family's 2925-position model. Lineage: Eukaryota; Metazoa; Arthropoda; Insecta; Psocodea; Menoponidae. The record is from RNAcentral.
GCUUUUCUUAUAUAAUGGAAAGUAUGGCCUGCUCACUGACUGAUUGUUAAAGAGCCGCAGUAUACUGACUGUGCAAAGGUAGCAUAAUAAAUAGCACUUUAAUUGAGUGCUGGAAUGAAUGGUUAAACAAAAGAAAAACUUUAUUAUACGUAACUUUCAAAAUUAAACUUUAAGUGCAAAUGCUUAAAUCUAUGUGAUAGACGAGAAGACCCUAUAGAUCUUUACUCUAUAUUUAAAUUGUUAUCAGUUUAGACAAGAGUUUUGUUGGGGUAACAAGAAAAUAAAUAAAAUUUUUCUUUAACUUAAUUAAUUAUCAAAAGAUAAAUGACCUUAACAUUUAAAUCAGAAGAUAAGUUACCUUAGGGAUAACAGCGUAAUAAAGAGUUAGAAGAACCAAUUUUAACUUGUGUUUACGACCUCGAUGUUGAAUUAAGAUUACUUUGAAAAGUAGAAGGUUCAAUAGUUUAGUCUGUUCGACUAUUAAAAUCU